RNAcentral lists this ribosomal RNA (497 nucleotides) under uncultured bacterium. Its description in RNAcentral is "partial 16S ribosomal RNA". It matches the Rfam family "Bacterial small subunit ribosomal RNA", at positions 28 to 507 of the family's 1533-position model. The record is from RNAcentral.
GAUGAACGCUGGCGGCGUGCCUAAUACAUGCAAGUCGAGCGAACGGACGAGAAGCUUGCUUCUCUGAUGCUAGCGGCGGACGGGUGAGUAACACGUGGAUAACCUACCUAUAAGACUGGGAUAACUUCGGGAAACCGUAGCUAAUACCGGAUAAUAUUUUGAACCGCAUGGUUCAAAAGUGAAAGACGGUCUUGCUGUCACUUAUAGAUGGAUCCGCGCUGCAUUAGCUAGUUGGUAAGGUAACGGCUUACCAAGGCAACGAUGCAUAGCCGACCUGAGAGGGUGAUCGGCCACACUGGAACUGAGAAACGGUCCAGACUCCUACGGGAGGCAGCAGUAGGGAAUCUUCAGCAAUGGGCGAAAGCCUGACGGAGCAACGCCGCGUGAGUGAUGAAGGUCUUCGGAUCGUAAAACUCUGUUAUUAGGGAAGAACAUAUGUGUAAGUAACUGUGCACAUCUUGACGGUACCUAAUCAGAAAGCCACGGCUAACUACGUG